CCUACGGGAGGCAGCAGUGAGGAAUAUUGGUCAAUGGGCUUACGCCUGAACCAGCCAAGUCGCGUGAGGGAAGACUGCCCUAUGGGUUGUAAACCUCUUUUGUCAGGGAGCAACGCCGGCUACGUGUAGCCGGACUGAGAGUACCUGAAGAAAAAGCAUCGGCUAACUCCGUGCCAGCAGCCGCGGUAAUACGGAGGAUGCGAGCGUUAUCCGGAUUUAUUGGGUUUGAAGGGUGCGUAGGCGGAAUGCCAAGUCAGCGGUAAAAUCGCGGGGCUCAACCUCGCUCCGCCGUUGAAACUGGCGUUCUUGAGUGGGCGAGAAGUAUGCGGAAUGCGUGGUGUAGCGGUGAAAUGCAUAGAUAUCACGAAGAACUCCGAUUGCGAAGGCAGCAUACCGGCGCCCAACUGACGCUGAAGCACGAAAGCGUGGGGAUCGAACAGGAUUAGAUACCCGGGUAGUC
This 460-nucleotide ribosomal RNA is filed under the name uncultured bacterium. RNAcentral describes it as "partial 16S ribosomal RNA". It matches the Rfam family "Bacterial small subunit ribosomal RNA", at positions 338 to 795 of the family's 1533-position model. The record is from RNAcentral.